CCUACGGGGGGCAGCAGUGAGGAAUAUUGGUCAAUGGACGAGAGUCUGAACCAGCCAAGUAGCGUGAAGGAUGACUGCCCUAUGGGUUUUAAACUUCUUUUAUAUGGGAAUAAAAUGUUCCACGUGUGUGAUUUUGUAUGUACCAUAUGAAUAAAGAUCGGCUAACUCCGUGCCAUCAGCCGCGGUAAUACGGAGGAUACGAGCGUUAUCCGGAUUUGUUGGGUUUAAAGGGAGCGUAGGUGGAUGGUUAAGUAAGUUGUGAAAGUUUGCGGAUCAACCGUAAAAUUGCAGUUGAAACUGGCAGUCUUGAGUACAGUAGAGGUGGGCGGAAUGCGUGGUGUAGCGGUGAAAGGCUGAGAUAUCACGAAGAACUCCGAUUGCGAAGGCAGCUCACUGGACUGCAACUGACACUGAGGCUCGAAAGUGUGGGUAUCAAACAGGAUUAGAUACCCGGGUAGUC
RNAcentral lists this ribosomal RNA (460 nucleotides) under uncultured bacterium. Its description in RNAcentral is "partial 16S ribosomal RNA". It matches the Rfam family "Bacterial small subunit ribosomal RNA", at positions 338 to 795 of the family's 1533-position model. The record is from RNAcentral.